Molecule: long non-coding RNA, 4321 nt
Organism: Rhododendron vialii
Lineage: Eukaryota; Viridiplantae; Streptophyta; Magnoliopsida; Ericales; Ericaceae
Exons: 3
Source: RefSeq, a predicted model, not a curated record
CCAUUGCCAUGAAUCUGCGCCUCUCUCUCUCUCUCUCUCUCUCUCUCUCUCUCCCCUCGGAGAUGAAUCGAUUUCAUUCCGCCCUUCUUCAUCAUACGUUCCCACGGGUUCUCAUCCUCCCGUUAGCCAUCGUAAUCAGUUAUCAUCACACAUACCCAUUCAUUGGUGUUGGAAUCGAUUGCAGCUCUCCACGACUCGUUAAUCUUUACCCCAUGCCCACAAACGAAGAAAGACUCCUUCCUCUCUUUCAACGUUGGCCAAGUUCGAGUCGCCCCAUGGCCACGCCGCGAGAACAUUCGACUCACUGAGUCCGAGAAGAUCGAAGGCACUAGUAGCUGGGAGACCCUCGAAUGGACCAAGAUCGAGCCGGCUCAGAGGUCUGUUCCCGAAAGGUUGCUAGGGUUUUUGCUUGAAGCGGAACAGGUCAUAGUAGAGGGAUGUGGUGUUGUUCUAGUAAAUAAAGAUGAGGCAGGUACCUUAUUUGUAACCAAUUAUUGCUAUCUCCUUUUUCUGGUAAGGAUCUUAUUCUUUUUAAACUCUCGCUUAAUCUCCUUUUUUGGAUCCAAUAUGGUUGAUAUCUUCAAUAUCUUCCUAACGUUUUUGCUUCCUUUUUAAAGAGUGAGGGAUCCCGGAACAUUAUUCCUCUUGGCACCAUUCCCUUGGCUACGAUCGAGAAGUUCAACAAAAUUGUGAGUCUACUUCUGUGUCGAGAGGACAAUGAGGGUUCGUGGCCAAUCGGUUGGGGAAUCAAUGUUUUCUCUGAAACCGAUCGAUAGUGUAAGCUCGUUCCUAAGAGGUACAAAAUUUGACUUUGAUUCCCUAUCAUCUUCACGGCUUUAGGAUGUGGGUUUAUUAAUUUUGUUUUCUCGUAUUAUAAACGAUAGAGGGUUUGGGGUAUUCGUGGGGGUUUAAUGAGUUCAAUUAGUUCUUUAAUGAGACCAUCCCAUUCUUUUGGACUCGAUAGGUGAGAUUAGGAUAGUUUAAGGACGAAAUAGGUGAUUUUGGAAGUUUAAGGACAAAGUAGAAAAAUGGAUGAUACUUUAAGGGAUAAAAACAUAAAAAAAAAACUCAAAAAAAGAAAAGAAAAGAACAAUGAAGCCAUGGGUUGCCAAAUAAGCCUUGGGGAGCAGCGCCAACAGCGAGGCCCUAUAUCCAUUUCAUCUUUCCGUAAGGAUGAGCAAACACCGAACCAAAAAGGAAAUAUGAGCAAAUACCCACAUCCUAAAUCACAGAAAACUAGAUAAUAAAAAACAGACAACAAAGACAUAUACAUGGGUCCCAUAAACCAACAUCCUAAAACCCAUAAAUAAAUUAUAGAACAAGGAAAAAUAAAGCGCAAAAAAAAAAAAAAAAAACCCCACGAAUACCCAAAAUUAAUAAAAAAAAAAUAGGAAAAAUGAGCGUAGGUAAUCGACUAAUACAAUUUUAGCAUGGGGUAGUGGUAGUUUAGUUGCAGUUUCUUGAAAUUAAUGUAUGAAUUUUUUUUUGGGUUUGGGCUAGCUUAUGUUGUUUUCUUAUUGGGCUUAUAUAGUUGGUUAGGCCAAAGUCUAAUGCGUAAGGUACCCUAAGUAUUUAAAGUGAAUUGAAUGAGAGAAGCUGCAGGUUAGAGCCUCGAUUUUUCCCAUUUAGUUGCCUCUUGUUUUUGCCGAGAACAUUGGCUGCAUAUGCAGUCCACUUGCUUGCUCAUUUCUUGAUAGAUUUCCACUAAACUCAACAAUAGAUUUAGGGAAAAACCAACACAGUUUUGGAGUGCAAGUACAUUGAACUAGGGUUUUAUUGUAAUAUAACGUUUUGGGAGAGGGAGAGAACAAUAGCGGCGGUUGAAGUCUCUUGGGAGGUGAUCAUUUUGGUUUUUUUUGAGGUAAUAAUUCUUUUCAUCCAAGCUAUACCCAUUUGCGGAAUGGACAAACUCUUGAGUUGGACAUUGGUGUUUGUCAUUAUAUUUGUGUCUAUGAGAGAGAGAGAGUACACGAAGGUGGUGCUUGUGACUGUGCGUGGUGAUGUGGUGCUGCGUGCGUGUGGUGAUGCAGUGCUGGUGUGCAUAAUGGAAUGGAUAAGUUGUGGGUUUGUCGGAGUUAAAACAAUAACUUUCCCUCCUAGAACUUUGUUUAUAUCUUUUAUAUGGAGGCUAGGAGUUUGGGUGCUAUUGGGCUAAUAGAAGUUAGGCAAUGACAGGUAGAUUUUGGAUGUGAACUGUGAUUUAAUAUUGGGAGGUAAAGCUUGACGUGUGCGGUCAGGUGUUAAGAUUCAGGUGUUGGUAAUAGGAUUUAGUAAUUUAGUGUAGACUCUAAAUUGGUAUUUAUGUGAUAUUUAUUUGUGUAUAGGCUAGUUUCUCAUUUCGUGAUUGAGUGGUUAAGCGUGUAUCAGUAUUAAAAAUAGUAUUAAGGAGAUAAUAGUCAUUGGGCUACAUAAUUGCAGUGACAUCAUUUUUUCCUGUAGGUUUGGUGGAGAAUGUUGCAAGUGGUUUUCUAUAUUAUUGAGAUAAUCACACAUAGUUUAUACAUACGUUAGUGACUGAAUGUAGUUCAAUUAUGGUGGUAUUGAAUCUGAAGAAAUUGUAUUUGCGAUAGUACGCUUGGAAAUUGAUUUAAGAAUGUAACUUAGAGGAUUGCUUCGAUUUCGUAUGUAGGAUUGGCUAGUUUAAUUGUGUGAGGUUGUGCUAUAGUUUUGUUAUUUAUAAUGCUCGCUACAUCCCGUAUACUUUUGAAUUGUUACUCUUUGAUUGGUCCAUCAUUUGUAUACUUGGUAUCUUAGUUGAGACGUGAUUAUGUUUUGUUAGGAGGGGUCAAUAAUUAUGAUUGUCUAAUAAAAUACUCUUGGAAUUGUUGAUAUUUAUUAGGUAAUGAAUAGUGGUAAGAAUGUUCAUAAUUCGGAUGUUACGUCGUUCCAAUGAAACCAAACCAAACCAAACCGAGCCUUAUGUCCCAGUCACUUGGGGUCGGCUACAUGAAUCCUUUUUGAUGUUACGCUGAUCCAAUCCGAUAAAAAAAUAGAAGACUAAAUGUUUUAAAGUGACAAUAGUUGGUUAUUGAAAUUGUGGGUUUUUCUAAUCGUGGUUGUAGGAGUUUGGUUUUUGGAACUUGACAAUUAAUGGAUAGGUUUUGGCAAGGUUGUGUCAGCUUGAUUUGAAAGGCCAUGUAAUGGGCUAUGGCUAUAACAGAAUGUGAAUGUUCGGGCUGGUUUGAGUAUAUAGAAGGGGAUUAUAAUAAUUUGUUGGGUGACAUGACACUAAAGUGAUAGACUGCACCGGUGGUGAUUUGAAAGUUUAAUGCAGUACGAUUUGUGGAAUUAUGGAAAGCUUAGGAAAACGAAAAUAUGUGUGGGUAAACUUAUGAGAUUGGAGUUGUUAUCGUGCCAUGCCAGUAAAUAUGGAGUAUUACCGACUUGAUGAUUAGUAGUUUUGGAGUUCUCAAUGCAUUUGCGGCUAAUUGUUUAAACUCCUACUUUUGGGGAUAAAUUAGAGAUGGGAUUUUGAAUGACAAGGGAAUAUUUUAAUGCAAGAUUCAAUGCUGUUAGAUUUUGGGUUAGUGCGCAUGGAGUCUGUCCAUAAGAUGAGGGGUGAAAUUCAAGGAUUUUAGGUGGUGAUGUUUAUUAUGUAUUUUCGUAAUGGACAAACCCCGGUGUUGGACAUUCAUGUAUGUUAUUAUAUUUGUGUGUGGUUUUGUGUCACAGAGAGAGAGAGAGAGAGAGAGAGAGAGAGAGAGAGAGAGAGACAGAGAGAGUGGUGCUUGUGACUGUGCGUGGUGAUGUGGUGCUGCGUGUGCGGUGCUAGUGUGCAUAGUGGAAUGGAUAAGUUGGGGGUUUGUCGGAGUUAAAACAAUAACUUUCCCUCUUAAAACUCUGUUUAUAUCUUUUUAUAUGGAGGCUAGGAGUUUGGGUGCUAUUGGGCUAAUAAAAGUAAGGCAAUGACAGGUAGAUUUUGGAUGUGGCUUGUGAUUUAGUAUUUGUUGGUAAAGCUUUAGGUGUGCGGUCUAGUGUUAAGACUUAGGUGUUUGUAAUAGGAUUUGGCAAUUUAGUCUAGACUCUAGAUUGGUAUUUGUAUGUGAUUUAUUUGUGUAUAAGCUGGUCUCUCUUUCGUGAUUGAGUUGCAUUGCCAUCGGGACCAAGCGGCUGUUUAAGUGUGUAUCAGUAUAAAAAAAAGUAUUACGUAGGUAUUAGUCAUCGGGCGACACAAUUGCAGUGACAACAUUUUUUGCCGUAGGUUUUGGAUUGGUUAUUGGAGGAGAAUGUAGCAAGUGGUUACUUUAUUAUUGGGAUAAUCACACAUAGUUUAUGCAUACCUUAGUGACUGAAUGUAGUUCAAUUACGGUGGUAUUGAAUA